RNAcentral lists this ribosomal RNA (460 nucleotides) under uncultured bacterium. RNAcentral's name for it is "partial 16S ribosomal RNA". It matches the Rfam family "Bacterial small subunit ribosomal RNA", at positions 338 to 795 of the family's 1533-position model. The record is from RNAcentral.
CCUACGGGUGGCAGCAGUGAGGAAUAUUGGUCAAUGGGCGCGAGCCUGAACCAGCCAAGUAGCGUGAAGGAUGACUGCCCUAUGGGUUGUAAACUUCUUUUAUAAAGGAAUAAAGUGAGGCACGUGUGCCUUUCUGAAUGUACUUUAUGAAUAAGGAUCGGCUAACUCCGUGCCAGCAGCCGCGGUAAUACGGAGGAUGCGAGCGUUAUCCGGAUUUAUUGGGUUUAAAGGGAGCGUAGAUGGGUGGAUAAGUCAGUUGUGAAAGUUUGCGGCUCAACCGUAAAAUUGCAAUUGAUACUGGCAGUCUUGAGUACAGUUGAGGUAGGCGGAAUGCGUGGUGUAGCGGUGAAAUGCGUAGAUAUCACGAAGAACUCCGAUUGCGAAGGCAGCUUACUAAACUGCCACUGACGUUGAUGCACGAAAGUGUGGGUAUCAAACAGGAUUAGAUACCCCAGUAGUC